This 292-nucleotide ribosomal RNA is filed under the name uncultured bacterium. RNAcentral describes it as "partial 16S ribosomal RNA". It matches the Rfam family "Bacterial small subunit ribosomal RNA", at positions 505 to 796 of the family's 1533-position model. The record is from RNAcentral.
GUGCCAGCAGCCGCGGUAAGACAGAGGGUGCAAACGUUGUUCGGAAUUACUGGGCGUAAAGCGUGUGUAGGCGGCCAUAUAAGUCGGAUGUGAAAGCCCUGGGCUCAACCCAGGAAGUGCACUCGAUACUGUGUGGCUCGAGUACUGGAGAGGUUGGUGGAAUUCUCGGUGUAGAGGUGAAAUUCGUAGAUAUCGAGAGGAACACCGGUGGCGAAGGCGGCCAACUGGACAGAUACUGACGCUGAGACACGAAAGCGUGGGGAGCAAACAGGAUUAGAAACCCGUGUAGUCC